UCGCACAUAGCUUGGGAAUUGGUGUUAUUUUUUAAACCUGGAACCAUGUUUCUAAAUGAAUAGAAAUCUUUUCAAACAUACUCUGCUUGCUUGUAGUCAAUUUAAUCGACUGCACUUAUUAUUUAUCUUCGCACGAUUCGGCAGCAGAUCAGUUUGUCCAAACGUCGUAGAAGGAAGCAGUUGCUCUCGAUCAGCUUUCCACUGAUAGCAGUUGCCAAAUUAAAGAUGAAGGCCCAAUACACCAUGCUCAUUGCGGUUCUCUUAUUCGUCGCCGCUUCUGUGGCGUCAGCCGAGGACGGCACGUGCGAAGAAAACUGCAGAACUGUUCAUGGUCCUGAAUGUUUCGAUGGAUGUGGUCCAGCUGACAACCAGGACGAGUCGUGCGUAACGGGAUGCAAAGAGUGGAUAGCUUACUGUGUCGACGAUUAUUGCAAGAACAGCUAGACUACAGAUAGUACGGACAAAACAUAAAGGAUCAUGGCUAAAUCGCUUCUCAAUGAAUUUGUACCUCUCUUGUCCGAAUAAACUAAGGUUCUGAAACGA
This is a long non-coding RNA of Lineus longissimus, 543 nucleotides long. RefSeq lists it as uncharacterized. The record is from RefSeq and is a predicted model, not a curated record. The transcript has 2 exons. Lineage: Eukaryota; Metazoa; Nemertea; Pilidiophora; Heteronemertea; Lineidae.